GAGUAAGCCACCGUUUCAAGCCUGCCCUGUGGAGGAAAUGCCAGUUUAUUAAAUAACGAGUAAGCCACCGUUUCAAGCCUGGCCUGUGGAGGAAAUGCCAGUUUAUUAAAUAACGAGUAAGCCACCGUUUCAAGCCUGCCCUGUGGAGGAAAUGCCAGUUUAUUAAAUAACGAGUGCGGAUCGAUGAGUACGAUCACUCCAAGCUCAUCCAGGGGCAACAGAAGAAGCCCUUUGAGGAGCACUGGAGGAAGCACACCCUGUCCUAUGUGGACGUCAGCACUGGGAAGGUCACUCUGGAAUAUAGACCCAUAAUCGACAAAACUUUGAACGAGGCUGACUGUGCCACCGUCCCCCCAGCCAUUCGCUCCUACUGAUGAGACAAGAUGCGGUGAUGACAGAAUCAGCUUUUGUAAUUACGUAUAAUAGCUCAUACAUGUGUCCAUGUCAUAACUGUCUUUAUACGCUUCUGCACUCUGGGGAAGAAGGAGUACAUUGAAGGGGGAUUGGCACCCAGUGGCCGGGGAGCGUGACACUUACCUUUGUCCCUUGCUUCAUUCUUGUGACAAUAUAAAACUGGGCACAGCUCUUAAAUAAAAUAUAAAUGAACAAACUUUCUUUUAUUUCCAAAUCCAUGUCAAAUAUUUUACUGUUAUGACGUGUCAUAUUUGUUGACCUAAAAAUCAAAUGUAAUUAUCUUUGUAUUCUGUUACAUCAAAAUCCAGAUAUUUUGUUGCAGUUUCUUUUUUUUUUUUUUGAGACCAGGUUGGUGCAGUGGUGCAGUCUCAGCUCACUGCAGCCUCAAACUCCUGGGCAGCUCAGGUGAUCUUCCCAACUCAGCCUUCU
This 843-nucleotide long non-coding RNA is filed under the name Pan troglodytes (chimpanzee). Its description in RNAcentral is "lincRNA". Lineage: Eukaryota; Metazoa; Chordata; Mammalia; Primates; Hominidae. The record is from RNAcentral.